AGUGCACCCAGCCCCACGCCUGGCACCCCACAGCCCCCACGGGGUGAAGGGGAGCAGGCACCUGGAGCAGCCCCGGGCCUGACCCCGCACCCUGCUGCGCCCUGGGGGGGCCUGGUCAGCCCCAAGGGGGGGGCAGCCUGCUCUGCCCACCAGGCAGGGUGGAACAGGGCUGCACCCCCUUCUCCUGCUGGGGACGAGCAUGCUGUGGACGUAGCCUCAGGUUCGGAGGGGGGGUCCCCACGGCUGUCCCGUCAGCGUGACGUGGCCGCUCUCCCCCCAGCCGGCGCUGCUGGGCGGUGGCUGCGCUUCCCGGCCGGCCUGGGCUUGUCUGGGUGCAGGACGAGGCGGCAAACCCGUCCAACGGGUCCUCGCAGCGCUCCCAGCAGGCGCCGCGCUCCCCAGCUCCCCGCGGCCCCGUCGCGCUCGCGCAGACCCGGCCCAGCUGUGGGGCCAGGGCCCCAUCCCCCUGAACCCUCACCCUGGGGGCUCGGAGUGGGGCUGCCACGGCCAAGCUGGGCCACGUGGCCAGGUCGGGGGCCGUGGCACGCCAUGCUGCCCGGUGCCGUCCCCACGCUGGGUGCUGGAUUUUGGGGAGCAGCCGCAGCCCCCGUGCCGGCACUGGCUCCCCGCAGCACACGGCAGGGCAGGCUGGGGAGCCCAGCGCAGCCCCGUUUGCCAUUGCGUCGCAGUUGGGGGAGCCAGGGACUGAGUCAGCCACCCCGGCAGGGCGAGCUGCGCUUGCAAAAUCCCUCCUGCCGCUUGCCUCGGCCUUGGCACCAUUCCCCGGGCAGUGCGUGGCACCGCUGCCACCUCGCCGGGCACUGGCCACGCAGCCCUGCUCCGCUCCGUGUCCCCAGGUGCCACACAGGCGCUGGUGUGGGGACCCCCAAGCCCCAGGCAGGGGGGAGCCCUCGAUGCAACCCCAGCUCUGGGGCUCGGGUGCUCCCCACGUGCAGGGUGGGCUUCCCCAGGACCCGGCAGCAGGUCAGGUCUGGGCUUGGGCGCAGAAUGGGUGCCUGGACCAGCUGCAUCGCGUGA
Molecule: long non-coding RNA, 1038 nt
Filed under: Anser cygnoides (Swan goose)
Lineage: Eukaryota; Metazoa; Chordata; Aves; Anseriformes; Anatidae
Description: lncRNA (ENSACDG00005006117.1)
Source: RNAcentral